GGAAACGUAUGCUAAUACCGAAUAUGCUCUACGGAGUAAAGGAGCCCUCUUCUUGAAAGGUUUCGCUAUAGGAUGAGCCCGCGUGAGAUUAGCUAGUUGGUAAGGUAAUGGCUUACCAAGGCAACGAUCUCUAGCUGGUUUGAGAGGAUGAUCAGCCACACUGGGACUGAGACACGGCCCAGACUCCUACGGGAGGCAGCAGUGGGGAAUAUUGCACAAUGAGCGAAAGCUUGAUGCAGCCAUACCGCGUGUGUGAAGAAGGCCCGAGGGUUGUAAAGCACUUUCAAUUGUGAGGAAGAUAGUGUCGCUAAUAUCGGCAUUGUUUGACGUUAACUUUAGAAGAAGCACCGGCUAACUCUGUGCCAGCAGCCGCGGUAAUACAGAGGGUGCAAGCGUUAUUCGGAAUUACUGGGCGUAAAGCGCGCGUAGGCGGGCUAUUAAGUCAGUUGUGAAAGCCCUGGGCUCAACCUGGGAACUGCAUCUGAUACUGGUAGUCUAGAGUUUAAGAGAGGGAAGUGGAAUUCCAGGUGUAGCAGUGAAAUGCGUAGAUAUCUGGAAGAACAUCAGUGGCGAAGGCGACUUCCUGGCUUAAAACUGACGCUGAAGUGCGAAAGCGUGGGUAGCGAACGGGAUUAGAUAC
Molecule: ribosomal RNA, 640 nt
Filed under: Thiomicrospira sp. Tms-MPN/Milos-DIII5
Lineage: Bacteria; Pseudomonadati; Pseudomonadota; Gammaproteobacteria; Thiotrichales; Piscirickettsiaceae
Description: bacterial SSU rRNA
Rfam family: Bacterial small subunit ribosomal RNA
Source: RNAcentral